Molecule: unclassified non-coding RNA, 164 nt
Filed under: uncultured Helotiales
Lineage: Eukaryota; Fungi; Ascomycota; Leotiomycetes; Helotiales
Description: sequence contains ITS1
Source: RNAcentral
CAGAGUUCAUGCCCCUCGGGGUAGACCUCCCACCCUUUGUAUACAUUGCCUUUGUUGCUUUGGCGGGCCGCCGCGCCCGCGUCCACCGGCUUCGGCUGGUGUGCGCCCGCCAGAGAACCCUAAACUCUUGUUUACAGUGUCGUCUGAGUACUAUAUAAUAGUUA